Loxodonta africana (African savanna elephant) is the source of this 71-nucleotide transfer RNA. It matches the Rfam family "tRNA". From Rfam's summary of the family: Transfer RNA (tRNA) molecules are approximately 80 nucleotides in length. Their secondary structure includes four short double-helical elements and three loops (D, anti-codon, and T loops). NCBI's taxonomy places the organism in Eukaryota, Metazoa, Chordata, Mammalia, Proboscidea, Elephantidae. The record is from Rfam.
ACAUGGGUGGUCCAGUGGUAGAAUCCCCGCCUUCCAUGUGGGAGACCCGGGCUCAAUUCCCGGCCAGUGCU